AGAAUCAACGCUGGCGGCGUGCCUAACACAUGCAAGUCGAACGCGAAAGUCCCGCAAGGGGCAAGUAGAGUGGCAAACGGGUGAGUAACACGUGGGUGACCUGCCUUCGAGUGGGGGAUAACGUCCCGAAAGGGACGCUAAUACCGCAUGACAUCCUGCCUUUGGAAAGGCGGAGAUCAAAGCCGGGAUCGCAAGACCUGGCGCUUGAAGAGGGCCCGCGCCUGAUUAGCUAGUUGGUAGGGUAACGGCCUACCAAGGCGACGAUCAGUA
This 270-nucleotide ribosomal RNA is filed under the name uncultured bacterium. Its description in RNAcentral is "partial small subunit ribosomal RNA". It matches the Rfam family "Bacterial small subunit ribosomal RNA", at positions 26 to 285 of the family's 1533-position model. The record is from RNAcentral.